AGGGUAAUAGUUAAAUUCUUAUAACAUUUGUAUUGCACACAAAAAUUAUUAAAAAAAAUAAUUUACCUUA
Molecule: transfer RNA, 70 nt
Filed under: Dentathalia scutellariae
Lineage: Eukaryota; Metazoa; Arthropoda; Insecta; Hymenoptera; Athaliidae
Description: tRNA-Ala
Source: RNAcentral